AAAAACAUGUCUUAUUGAAUUUAAAUAGUAAGUCGAUUCUGCCCAUUGAAUAAAAAUUUAAAAGGCUGCGGUAUAUUAACUGUACAAAGGUAGCAAAAUAAAUAGUUUUUUAAUUGAGAACUUGAAUGAAAGAUUUGAUAAAAUAUAAAUUGUCUCAAAUUAAUGUUUAUAUAAUUUAAAUUAAAAGUAAAAAUGCUUUUAUUAUUUUAUUAGACGAUAAGACCCUAAGAAUUUUAUAAUUUAUUUUUUAUUUAAAUUGUGUAAAAUUAAUAAUAAAUAUUAAAUUAUUUUAUUGGGAGGAUAAUUAAAUAUGAACUUUAAUUAAUUGUAAAUAUUAAUAAAUAAAAUUUUAAUGAUUAAUUUUUUGAUUAUAAGAUUAAAUUACCUUAGGGAUAACAGCGUAAUAAUUUUGGAGAGUUCAUAUUGAUAAAAUUGUUUGCGACCUCGAUGUUGAAUUAAAAUGAAAAUUAAAUGUAGAUAUUUAAAUUUUUAGUCUGUUCGACUAUUAAAAUUUUACAUGAUCUGAGUUCAAAACCGGAGA
Molecule: ribosomal RNA, 541 nt
Filed under: Epipona niger
Lineage: Eukaryota; Metazoa; Arthropoda; Insecta; Hymenoptera; Vespidae
Description: partial large subunit ribosomal RNA
Rfam family: Bacterial large subunit ribosomal RNA (bases 392-541)
Source: RNAcentral